Molecule: ribosomal RNA, 816 nt
Filed under: marine metagenome
Description: bacterial SSU rRNA
Rfam family: Bacterial small subunit ribosomal RNA
Source: RNAcentral
AAAACUUUUCAGCUAGAGUUUGAUAGAGGAAAGCAGAAUUUCUAGUGUAGAGGUGAAAUUCGUAGAUAUUAGAAAGAAUACCAAUUGCGAAGGCAGCUUUCUGGAUCAUUACUGACACUGAGGAACGAAAGCAUGGGUAGCGAAGAGGAUUAGAUACCCUCGUAGUCCAUGCCGUAAACGAUGUGUGUUAGACGUUGGAAAUUUAUUUUCAGUGUCGCAGCGAAAGCAAUAAACACACCGCCUGGGGAGUACGACCGCAAGGUUAAAACUCAAAUGAAUUGACGGGGACCCGCACAAGUAGUGGAGCAUGUGGUUUAAUUCGAAGAUACGCGCAGAACCUUACCAACACUUGACAUGUUCGUCGCGACUUUAAGAGAUUAAAGUUUUCGGUUCGGCCGGACGAAACACAGGUGCUGCAUGGCUGUCGUCAGCUCGUGUCGUGAGAUGUUGGGUUAAGUCCCGCAACGAGCGCAACCCUCACUUUUAGUUGCCAUCAUUAAGUUGGGCACUCUGAAAGAACUGCCAGUGAUAAGCUGGAGGAAGGUGGGGAUGACGUCAAGUCCUCAUGGCCCUUACGUGUUGGGCUACACACGUGCUACAAUGGUAUUUACAACAGGAAGCAAGACGGCGACGUUAAGCAAAUCCUUAAAAAAUACCUCAGUUCGGAUUGCACUCUGCAACUCGAGUGCAUGAAGCUGGAAUUACUAGUAAUCGUGGAUCAGCGUGCCACGGUGAAUGCGUUCCCGGGUCUUGUACACACCGCCCGUCACACCAUGGGAGUUGGUUCUACCUUAAGGCAAGGCUUAAAACCCUGAC